This 491-nucleotide ribosomal RNA is filed under the name uncultured bacterium. RNAcentral describes it as "partial 16S ribosomal RNA". It matches the Rfam family "Bacterial small subunit ribosomal RNA", at positions 29 to 506 of the family's 1533-position model. The record is from RNAcentral.
AGUGAACGCUGGCGGUAGGCCUAACACAUGCAAGUCGAACGGCAGCACAGUAAGAGCUUGCUCUUACGGGUGGCGAGUGGCGGACGGGUGAGGAAUACAUCGGAAUCUACUUUUUCGUGGGGGAUAACGUAGGGAAACUUACGCUAAUACCGCAUACGACCUACGGGUGAAAGCAGGGGAUCUUCGGACCUUGCGCGAUUGAAUGAGCCGAUGUCGGAUUAGCUAGUUGGAGGGGUAAAGGCCCACCAAGGCGACGAUCCGUAGCUGGUCUGAGAGGAUGAUCAGCCACACUGGAACUGAGACACGGUCCAGACUCCUACGGGAGGCAGCAGUGGGGAAUAUUGGACAGUGGGCGCAAGCCUGAUCCAGACAUACCGCGUGGGUGAAGAAGGCCUUCGGGUUGUAAAGCCCUUUUGUUGGGAAAGAAAAGCAGCAGGUUAAUACCCCGCUGUUCUGACGGUACCCAAAGAAUAAGCACCGGCUAACUUCGU